GCGGGUGUAGCUUAGCGGUCUAAAGCACUGCCCUGUCACGGCAGGGAUCGCCGGUUCAAAUCCGGUCACCCGCGCCA
Molecule: transfer RNA, 77 nt
Filed under: bacterium
Lineage: Bacteria
Description: tRNA-Asp
Rfam family: tRNA
About the family: Transfer RNA (tRNA) molecules are approximately 80 nucleotides in length. Their secondary structure includes four short double-helical elements and three loops (D, anti-codon, and T loops).
Source: RNAcentral